Molecule: ribosomal RNA, 518 nt
Filed under: uncultured archaeon
Lineage: Archaea
Description: bacterial SSU rRNA
Rfam family: Archaeal small subunit ribosomal RNA
Source: RNAcentral
GAAACAGCGAUAAGGGGACCUCGAGUGCCAGGUUACAAAUCUGGCAGUCGUGAUGCCUAAAAAGCAUUGCAUAGCAAGGGCCGGGCAAGACCGGUGCCAGCCGCCGCGGUAACACCGGCGGCUCGAGUGGUAACCGUUAUUAUUGGGUCUAAAGGGUCUGUAGCCGGCCGGAUAAGUCUCUUGGGAAAUCCAGCAGCUCAACUGUUGGGCUUUCAGGAGAUACUGUCUGGCUCGAGGCCGGGAGAGGUGAGAGGUACUUCAGGGGUAGGGGUGAAAUCUUGUAAUCCUUGAAGGACCACCAGUGGCGAAGGCGUCUCACCAGAACGGACCUGACGGCAAGGGACGAAAGCUAGGGGCACGAACCGGAUUAGAUACCCGGGUAGUCCUAGCCGUAAACGAUACUCGCUAGGUGUCGGCCACGGUGCGACCGUUGUCGGUGCCGUAGGGAAGCCGUGAAGCGAGCCACCUGGGAAGUACGGCCGCAAGGCUGAAACUUAAAGGAAUUGGCGGGGGAGCAC